Molecule: ribosomal RNA, 495 nt
Filed under: uncultured bacterium
Lineage: Bacteria
Description: partial 16S ribosomal RNA
Rfam family: Bacterial small subunit ribosomal RNA
Source: RNAcentral
GACGAACGCUGGCGGCGUGCCUAAUACAUGCAAGUCGAACGCUGAAGGAGGAGCUUGCUUCUCUGGAUGAGUUGCGAACGGGUGAGUAACGCGUAGGUAACCUGCCUGGUAGCGGGGGAUAACUAUUGGAAACGAUAGCUAAUACCGCAUAAUAGUAGAUGUUGCAUGACAUUUGCUUAAAAGGUGCAAUUGCAUCACUACCAGAUGGACCUGCGUUGUAUUAGCUAGUUGGUGGGGUAACGGCUCACCAAGGCGACGAUACAUAGCCGACCUGGGAGGGGGGUCGGCCACACUGGGAAUGGGACCAGGCCCAGACUCCUACGGGGGGCAGCAGGAGGGGAUCUUCGGCAAUGGACGGAAGUCUGACCGGGCAACGCCGCGGGAGUGAAGAAGGUUGUCGGAUCGUAAAGAUCUGUUGUAAGAGAAGAACGAGUGUGAGAGUGGAAAGUUCACACUGUGACGGUAUCUUAACAGAAAGGGACGGCUAACUACGUG